AGCAGUAGCUCAGUGGCAGAGCUCCCGCUUCGUAUGCAGGGAGACACGUGGGUUCGAUUCUCUCCUGCU
This 69-nucleotide transfer RNA is filed under the name Toxocara canis (dog roundworm). It matches the Rfam family "tRNA". From Rfam's summary of the family: Transfer RNA (tRNA) molecules are approximately 80 nucleotides in length. Their secondary structure includes four short double-helical elements and three loops (D, anti-codon, and T loops). Further hydrogen bonds mediate the characteristic L-shaped molecular structure. tRNAs have two regions of fundamental functional importance: the anti-codon, which is responsible for specific mRNA codon recognition, and the 3' end, to which the tRNAs corresponding amino acid is attached (by aminoacyl-tRNA synthetases). tRNAs cope with the degeneracy of the genetic code in two manners: having more than one tRNA (with a specific anti-codon) for a particular amino acid; and 'wobble' base-pairing, i.e. permitting non-standard base-pairing at the 3rd anti-codon position. Lineage: Eukaryota; Metazoa; Nematoda; Chromadorea; Rhabditida; Toxocaridae. The record is from Rfam by way of RNAcentral.